RNAcentral lists this small nuclear RNA (320 nucleotides) under Castor canadensis (American beaver). Its description in RNAcentral is "7SK RNA (ENSCCNG00000018827.1)". It matches the Rfam family "7SK RNA". From Rfam's summary of the family: 7SK was discovered as an abundant small nuclear RNA in the mid-70s but a possible function has only recently been suggested. Lineage: Eukaryota; Metazoa; Chordata; Mammalia; Rodentia; Castoridae. The record is from Rfam by way of RNAcentral.
GGACGUGAGGGCAAUCUGACUGCGACAUCUGUCACCCCAUUGAUUGCCAGGGUUGAUUCGGCUGAUCUGGCUGGCCAGGUGGGUGUUCCCUUCCUCCCUCACCGCUCCAUGUGCAUUCCUUCUGAAGGCAGUGAACUCAGUCGAAGAGGACCACCAUCCCUGAUAGAGGAGGACCGUUCUUUGGUCAAGGGUAUACAAGUAGCUGCACUCCCCUGCUAGAACCUCCAAAUUAGCUCUCAAGAGGGAAAGGAAGGGACAAUAAGGAAGAAGUGUGGAAGUGAACAUGAUUGUGAGACAGAAUAUAUUUUAUGAUUUGAUUU